UUAAUUGAAGCCAAAAAGAGGCUUAUCACUGUUAAUGAUAGAACUGAGAUUCUUCUCCAAUUAAG
RNAcentral lists this transfer RNA (65 nucleotides) under Bactrocera melastomatos. RNAcentral's name for it is "tRNA-Asn". RNAcentral also lists the same sequence under 1 other name. Lineage: Eukaryota; Metazoa; Arthropoda; Insecta; Diptera; Tephritidae. The record is from RNAcentral.